UGGGGAAUAUUGCACAAUGGGCGCAAGCCUGAUGCAGCCAUGCCGCGUGUGUGAAGAAGGCCUUCGGGUUGUAAAGCACUUUCAGCGAGGAGGAAGGGUUCAGUGUUAAUAGCACUGUUCAUUGACGUUACUCGCAGAAGAAGCACCGGCUAACUCCGUGCCAGCAGCCGCGGUAAUACGGAGGGUGCAAGCGUUAAUCGGAAUUACUGGGCGUAAAGCGCACGCAGGCGGUUUGUUAAGUCAGAUGUGAAAUCCCCGCGCUUAACGUGGGAACUGCAUUUGAAACUGGCAAGCUAGAGUCUUGUAGAGGGGGGUAGGAUUCCAGGUGUAGCGGUGAAAUGCGUAGAGAUCUGGAGGAAUACCGGUGGCGAAGGCGGCCCCCCUGGACA
This 389-nucleotide ribosomal RNA is filed under the name uncultured bacterium. RNAcentral's name for it is "partial 16S ribosomal RNA". It matches the Rfam family "Bacterial small subunit ribosomal RNA", at positions 355 to 735 of the family's 1533-position model. The record is from RNAcentral.